AGAGUUUGAUCCUGGCUCAGGAUGAACGCUGGCGGCGUGCCUAAUACAUGCAAGUCGAGCGAACAGACAAGGAGCUUGCUCCUUUGACGUUAGCGGCGGACGGGUGAGUAACACGUGGGUAACCUACCUAUAAGACUGGGAUAACUUCGGGAAACCGGAGCUAAUACCGGAUAAUAUUUCGAACCGCAUGGUUCGAUAGUGAAAGAUGGUUUUGCUAUCACUUAUAGAUGGACCCGCGCCGUAUUAGCUAGUUGGUAAGGUAACGGCUUACCAAGGCGACGAUACGUAGCCGACCUGAGAGGGUGAUCGGCCACACUGGAACUGAGACACGGUCCAGACUCCUACGGGAGGCAGCAGUAGGGAAUCUUCCGCAAUGGGCGAAAGCCUGACGGAGCAACGCCGCGUGAGUGAUGAAGGUCUUCGGAUCGUAAAACUCUGUUAUUAGGGAAGAACAUACAUGUAAGUAACUAUGCACGUCUUGACGGUACCUAAUCAGAAAGCCACGGCUAACUACGUGCCAGCAGCCGCGGUAAUACGUAGGUGGCAAGCGUUAUCCGGAAUUAUUGGGCGUAAAGCGCGCGUAGGCGGUUUUUUAAGUCUGAUGUGAAAGCCCACGGCUCAACCGUGGAGGGUCAUUGGAAACUGGAAAACUUGAGUGCAGAAGAGGAAAGUGGAAUUCCAUGUGUAGCGGUGAAAUGCGCAGAGAUAUGGAGGAACACCAGUGGCGAAGGCGACUUUCUGGUCUGUAACUGACGCUGAUGUGCGAAAGCGUGGGGAUCAAACAGGAUUAGAUACCCUGGUAGUCCACGCCGUAAACGAUGAGUGCUAAGUGUUAGGGGGUUUCCGCCCCUUAGUGCUGCAGCUAACGCAUUAAGCACUCCGCCUGGGGAGUACGACCGCAAGGUUGAAACUCAAAGGAAUUGACGGGGACCCGCACAAGCGGUGGAGCAUGUGGUUUAAUUCGAAGCAACGCGAAGAACCUUACCAAAUCUUGACAUCCUUUGACAACUCUAGAGAUAGAGCCUUCCCCUUCGGGGGACAAAGUGACAGGUGGUGCAUGGUUGUCGUCAGCUCGUGUCGUGAGAUGUUGGGUUAAGUCCCGCAACGAGCGCAACCCUUAAGCUUAGUUGCCAUCAUUAAGUUGGGCACUCUAAGUUGACUGCCGGUGACAAACCGGAGGAAGGUGGGGAUGACGUCAAAUCAUCAUGCCCCUUAUGAUUUGGGCUACACACGUGCUACAAUGGACAAUACAAAGGGCAGCGAAACCGCGAGGUCAAGCAAAUCCCAUAAAGUUGUUCUCAGUUCGGAUUGUAGUCUGCAACUCGACUACAUGAAGCUGGAAUCGCUAGUAAUCGUAGAUCAGCAUGCUACGGUGAAUACGUUCCCGGGUCUUGUACACACCGCCCGUCACACCACGAGAGUUUGUAACACCCGAAGCCGGUGGAGUAACCAUUUGGAGCUAGCCGUCGAAGGUGGGACAAAUGAUUGGGGUGAAGUCGUAACAAGGUAACCGUA
Molecule: ribosomal RNA, 1515 nt
Filed under: Staphylococcus epidermidis
Lineage: Bacteria; Bacillati; Bacillota; Bacilli; Caryophanales; Staphylococcaceae
Description: bacterial SSU rRNA
Rfam family: Bacterial small subunit ribosomal RNA
Source: RNAcentral